This 71-nucleotide transfer RNA is filed under the name Candidatus Pacearchaeota archaeon. RNAcentral's name for it is "tRNA-Ala". It matches the Rfam family "tRNA". From Rfam's summary of the family: Transfer RNA (tRNA) molecules are approximately 80 nucleotides in length. The record is from RNAcentral. Lineage: Archaea; Nanobdellati.
GGGCUCAUCGUUCAAUGGUAGGAUAACUCGUUUGCAACGAGUGGAUUCGGGUUCGAUUCCCGAUGAGUCCA